Cavia aperea (Brazilian guinea pig) is the source of this 133-nucleotide small nucleolar RNA. The record is from Ensembl. Lineage: Eukaryota; Metazoa; Chordata; Mammalia; Rodentia; Caviidae.
AUGCCCGACAAGGCUGGUAGUUUUCUGAAGCUGUUGGUUUCAAGCAGGAGCCUAAAGUGGUCUCCUUCUAUGGUCUGUUGGCCAUUUCAGAACUUUAGAAAUGUAAUGGUCAAUUCAUUAGAAAGAACAACUU